AUGGCUCCGGCGGCAAUGGAGGUCGCGCCAGCGCCCGUCGCCGUCGUGGCCGUGCCGUUCCCGGCGCAGGGGCACCUCAACCAGAUGCUGCACCUGUCGCUCCUGCUCGCGUCCCGGGGCCUGGGCGUGCACUACGCGGCGCCCGCGCCGCACGUCCGCCAGGCGCGCGCGCGCGUGCAGGGCUGGGACGCGCGCGCCGUCCGCUCGCUCCACUUCGCCGCCCUCGACGUCCCGCCCUACGCCACGCCGCCGCCCGACCCCGACAGCCCCGUCGCGUUCCCGGCCCACCUGCAGCCGCUCUUCGACGCGUUCUGCGACCACGCCGCGGCCCCGCUCGGGCGCCUCCUCGAGGACCUCGCCGCCGAGCACCGCCGCGUCGUCGUCGUGCACGACAGCCUCGUGGCCUUCCCCGCGACGGAGGCGUCGCGGCUGCCCAACGGCGAGGCGUACGCGCUCCAGUGCGUGGGGCAGUCGUUCGGCGCCGGGUUCAAGGACCCCAGCCACCGCCUGGUGCGCGCGCUCGGCCUGCCCGUCCCGUCACCCGAGUCCUUCCUCACCGAGGCGUUCAUGGGGCUCGUGGAGCGGCAGGGCGGGCUCGGCGUGCCCGGCGCCGGGCUGCUCCUCAACUCGUGCCGCGCGCUCGAGGGAGAGUUCGUCGACGCGCAAGCCGAGGCCCUGUCCCUCGACGGCAAGAAGCUAUUCUCCAUCGGCCCGUUAAACCCACUGCUAGAGCUGGACGUGACCAUGCAGCCGCGGCAUGAGUGCAUGGACUGGCUUGACAAGCAGCCGCCGUCAUCGGUGCUGUACCUGUGCUUCGGCACAAUGACGUCGCUGCCUGGCAAGCAGAUCGAGGAGCUGGCCGGCGCGUUGCAGAGCUGCGAGCAGCGGUUCAUCUGGGUGCUGCGCGACGCCGACCGCGCCGACAUCUUCGCGGAGGCCGGCGAGAGCCGGCACGCCAAGCUGAUGUCCGAGUUCACCAAACGGACCGAAGGGAGGGGGCUGGUGAUCACCGGGUGGGCGCCGCAGCUGGAGAUCCUGGCGCACGGCGCCACGGCGGCGUUCGUGAGCCACUGCGGCUGGAACUCGCUGCUGGAAGGGCUAAGCCACGGGAAGCCGAUCCUCGCGUGGCCCAUGCACUCCGACCAGCCGUGGAACGCUGGGUACGUGUGCGGCCACCUCAAGGCCGGGAUCGUCAUGAGGUCAUGGGAGAAGAGCCGGGAGACGCUGCCGGCCAAGGACAUUCAAGAGGUCAUCAAGAGGGCGAUGGACUCCGACGAAGGCAUCGCCGCGCGGAGUGCGGCGAAGGCGCUCGCCGAGGACGUUCGUGCCGCCGUGGCGAACGGUGGCUCGUCGUGGGCGGACAUGGAGGAGUUCGUCGCCCGCAUCACAAAGUGA
This 1395-nucleotide ribosomal RNA is filed under the name Triticum aestivum (bread wheat). Its description in RNAcentral is "partial small subunit ribosomal RNA". The record is from RNAcentral. Lineage: Eukaryota; Viridiplantae; Streptophyta; Magnoliopsida; Poales; Poaceae.